Molecule: ribosomal RNA, 2900 nt
Filed under: Klebsiella pneumoniae
Lineage: Bacteria; Pseudomonadati; Pseudomonadota; Gammaproteobacteria; Enterobacterales; Enterobacteriaceae
Description: bacterial LSU rRNA
Rfam family: Bacterial large subunit ribosomal RNA
Source: RNAcentral
UUAAGCGACUAAGCGUACACGGUGGAUGCCCUGGCAGUCAGAGGCGAUGAAGGACGUGCUAAUCUGCGAAAAGCGUCGGUAAGGUGAUAUGAACCGUUAUAACCGGCGAUGUCCGAAUGGGGAAACCCAGUGCAAUUCGUUGCACUAUCGUUAACUGAAUACAUAGGUUAACGAGGCGAACCGGGGGAACUGAAACAUCUAAGUACCCCGAGGAAAAGAAAUCAACCGAGAUUCCCCCAGUAGCGGCGAGCGAACGGGGAGCAGCCCAGAGUCUGAAUCAGCUUGUGUGUUAGUGGAACGGUCUGGAAAGUCCGACGGUACAGGGUGAUAGUCCCGUACACCAAAAUGCACAGGUUGUGAACUCGAAGAGUAGGGCGGGACACGUGGUAUCCUGUCUGAAUAUGGGGGGACCAUCCUCCAAGGCUAAAUACUCCUGACUGACCGAUAGUGAACCAGUACCGUGAGGGAAAGGCGAAAAGAACCCCGGCGAGGGGAGUGAAAAAGAACCUGAAACCGUGUACGUACAAGCAGUGGGAGCACCUUCGGGUGUGACUGCGUACCUUUUGUAUAAUGGGUCAGCGACUUAUAUUCUGUAGCAAGGUUAACCGUAUAGGGGAGCCGCAGGGAAACCGAGUCUUAACUGGGCGUUAAGUUGCAGGGUAUAGACCCGAAACCCGGUGAUCUAGCCAUGGGCAGGUUGAAGGUUGGGUAACACUAACUGGAGGACCGAACCGACUAAUGUUGAAAAAUUAGCGGAUGACUUGUGGCUGGGGGUGAAAGGCCAAUCAAACCGGGAGAUAGCUGGUUCUCCCCGAAAGCUAUUUAGGUAGCGCCUCGUGAAUUCAUCUUCGGGGGUAGAGCACUGUUUCGGCUAGGGGGUCAUCCCGACUUACCAACCCGAUGCAAACUACGAAUACCGAAGAAUGUUAUCACGGGAGACACACGGCGGGUGCUAACGUCCGUCGUGAAGAGGGAAACAACCCAGACCGCCAGCUAAGGUCCCAAAGUCAUGGUUAAGUGGGAAACGAUGUGGGAAGGCACAGACAGCCAGGAUGUUGGCUUAGAAGCAGCCAUCAUUUAAAGAAAGCGUAAUAGCUCACUGGUCGAGUCGGCCUGCGCGGAAGAUGUAACGGGGCUAAACCAUGCACCGAAGCUGCGGCAGCGACACUAUGUGUUGUUGGGUAGGGGAGCGUUCUGUAAGCCUGCGAAGGUGACCUGUGAGGGUUGCUGGAGGUAUCAGAAGUGCGAAUGCUGACAUAAGUAACGAUAAAGCGGGUGAAAAGCCCGCUCGCCGGAAGACCAAGGGUUCCUGUCCAACGUUAAUCGGGGCAGGGUGAGUCGACCCCUAAGGCGAGGCCGAAAGGCGUAGUCGAUGGGAAACAGGUUAAUAUUCCUGUACUUGGUGUUACUGCGAAGGGGGGACGGAGAAGGCUAUGUUAGCCGGGCGACGGUUGUCCCGGUUUAAGCAUGUAGGCUGGUUGUCCAGGCAAAUCCGGAUAAUCAAGGCUGAGGUGUGAUGACGAGGCACUACGGUGCUGAAGUAACAAAUGCCCUGCUUCCAGGAAAAGCCUCUAAGCAUCAGGUAACAUUAAAUCGUACCCCAAACCGACACAGGUGGUCAGGUAGAGAAUACCAAGGCGCUUGAGAGAACUCGGGUGAAGGAACUAGGCAAAAUGGUGCCGUAACUUCGGGAGAAGGCACGCUGGUGUGUAGGUGAAGUCCCUGCGGAUGGAGCUGAGACCAGUCGAAGAUACCAGCUGGCUGCAACUGUUUAUUAAAAACACAGCACUGUGCAAACACGAAAGUGGACGUAUACGGUGUGACGCCUGCCCGGUGCCGGAAGGUUAAUUGAUGGGGUUAUCCGUAAGGAGAAGCUCUUGAUCGAAGCCCCGGUAAACGGCGGCCGUAACUAUAACGGUCCUAAGGUAGCGAAAUUCCUUGUCGGGUAAGUUCCGACCUGCACGAAUGGCGUAAUGAUGGCCAGGCUGUCUCCACCCGAGACUCAGUGAAAUUGAACUCGCUGUGAAGAUGCAGUGUACCCGCGGCAAGACGGAAAGACCCCGUGAACCUUUACUAUAGCUUGACACUGAACAUUGAGCCUUGAUGUGUAGGAUAGGUGGGAGGCUUUGAAGCGUGGACGCCAGUCUGCGUGGAGCCAACCUUGAAAUACCACCCUUUAAUGUUUGAUGUUCUAACGUUGGCCCCUGACCGGGGUUGCGGACAGUGUCUGGUGGGUAGUUUGACUGGGGCGGUCUCCUCCCAAAGCGUAACGGAGGAGCACGAAGGUUAGCUAAUCCUGGUCGGACAUCAGGAGGUUAGUGCAAUGGCAUAAGCUAGCUUGACUGCGAGCGUGACGGCGCGAGCAGGUGCGAAAGCAGGUCAUAGUGAUCCGGUGGUUCUGAAUGGAAGGGCCAUCGCUCAACGGAUAAAAGGUACUCCGGGGAUAACAGGCUGAUACCGCCCAAGAGUUCAUAUCGACGGCGGUGUUUGGCACCUCGAUGUCGGCUCAUCACAUCCUGGGGCUGAAGUAGGUCCCAAGGGUAUGGCUGUUCGCCAUUUAAAGUGGUACGCGAGCUGGGUUUAGAACGUCGUGAGACAGUUCGGUCCCUAUCUGCCGUGGGCGCUGGAGAAUUGAGGGGGGCUGCUCCUAGUACGAGAGGACCGGAGUGGACGCAUCACUGGUGUUCGGGUUGUCAUGCCAAUGGCACUGCCCGGUAGCUAAAUGCGGAAGAGAUAAGUGCUGAAAGCAUCUAAGCACGAAACUUGCCCCGAGAUGAGUUCUCCCUGAGACUUUAAGUCUCCUGAAGGAACGUUGAAGACGACGACGUUGAUAGGCCGGGUGUGUAAGCGCAGCGAUGCGUUGAGCUAACCGGUACUAAUGAACCGUGAGGCUUAACCUU